CCUACGGGUGGCAGCAGUGGGGAAUAUUGCACAAUGGGGGAAACCCUGAUGCAGCGACGCCGCGUGAGUGAAGAAGUACUUCGUUAUGUAAAGCUCUAUCAGCAGGGAAGAAAAUGACGGUACCUGAGUAAGAAGCCCCGGCUAACUACGUGCCAGCAGCCGCGGUAAUACGUAGGGGGCAAGCGUUAUCCGGAUUUACUGGGUGUAAAGGGAGCGUAGGCGGGAGUGCAAGUCUGGAGUGAAAGGCGGGGGCUCAACCCCCGGACUGCUCUGGAUACUGGACGGCUGGAGUGCAGGAGAGGUAAGCGGAAUGCGUGGUGUAGCGGUGAAAUGCGUAGAUAUCAGGCAGAACACCAGUUGCGAAGGCAGCUUACUGGACUGUAACUGACGUUGAGGCUCGAAAGCGUGGGGAGCAAACAGGAUUAGAUACCCGGGUAGUC
Molecule: ribosomal RNA, 440 nt
Filed under: uncultured bacterium
Lineage: Bacteria
Description: partial 16S ribosomal RNA
Rfam family: Bacterial small subunit ribosomal RNA
Source: RNAcentral